GAUGAACGCUGGCGGCGUGCUUAACACAUGCAAGUCGAACGGAAAGGCCCAAGCUUGCUUGGGUACUCGAGUGGCGAACGGGUGAGUAACACGUGGGUGAUCUGCCCUGCACUUCGGGAUAAGCCUGGGAAACUGGGUCUAAUACCGGAUAGGACCACAUUUUGGAUGGUGUGGUUGAAAGUUUUUCGGUGUGGGACGAGCUCGCGGCCUAUCAGCUUGUUGGUGGGGUAAUGGCCUACCAAGGCGUCGACGGGUAGCCGGCCUGGGGGGGUGUACGGCCACAUGGGGAAUGAGAUACGGCCCAGACUCCUAGGGGGGGAAGCGGGGGGAAAGAUUGCAAAAGGGGCACAAGCCUGAUGGAGGGACGCCGGGGGGGGGAUGACGGCCUUGGGGGUGGAACCCCUUUUCGCGAGGGACGAAGGUUUAUGGGGGGGGACCUGGAAAAGAAGCACGGGCAAACAACG
Molecule: ribosomal RNA, 464 nt
Filed under: uncultured bacterium
Lineage: Bacteria
Description: partial 16S ribosomal RNA
Rfam family: Bacterial small subunit ribosomal RNA
Source: RNAcentral